RNAcentral lists this ribosomal RNA (254 nucleotides) under uncultured Eubacteriales bacterium. Its description in RNAcentral is "uncultured Clostridiales bacterium partial 16S ribosomal RNA". It matches the Rfam family "Bacterial small subunit ribosomal RNA", at positions 524 to 776 of the family's 1533-position model. The record is from RNAcentral. Lineage: Bacteria; Bacillati; Bacillota; Clostridia; Eubacteriales.
UACGUAGGGGGCGAGCGUUGUCCGGAAUGACUGGGCGUAAAGGGUGUGUAGGCGGUUUAUUAAGUUAGAAGUGAAAUACCUAGGGCUUAACCCAGGUGCUGCUUCUAAAACUGAUAGACUUGAGUGCAGUAGAGGAAAGUGGAAUUCCUAGUGUAGCGGUGGAAUGCGCAGAUAUCGGGAAGAACACCGAUGGCGAAGGCAGCUCUCUGGGCCGUCACUGACGCUGAGGCGCGAAAGCUGGGGGAGCGAACAGG